ACGGUUGUCGCCACUGCUCGGGGGAAAAAAAUGUGUAUUUUUACUUGGAUCUUAAGUUUGGUUAGUGUAUUUGAGCAUAUGAAACUGGUUGUAUCUCCAACCAAGUAUUUCAGUGGGUUCCCAUAAUAAAUUGCAUCAAAUGGGCAAAACGUUGGAUACAUCCAUACUAACUAGAACACUUUAGGCAAGUUAUUAGUUUGCCAGGUUGGUGAAUUGACAUACUAGGUAAUUUGUCAAGUCGUCAGUUCAUAACUUGAUAUCCUGCAGAGCGCCGACGCACCUUAGACCUGCGUUGUUAUGUUGAGCUCCGUGGACCAAACCUUGUUUUUCUUCCAUAUUCAGGAUAACGAAGGGCAAACGGCACCUCACUAUGUGAACUAUACUAUGAACUUUAAUACUUUUAUCUAGGCUUCUUGCCAACCAGGAUAUUGACAUGCUGUGAACUUGUUUGCUUGUAGACUGACUGUAAAAGGCUGAUAUGCCAAGUAUUGUCAUCCCAAAGUAGAUGCAUCUAUUAUGAUUUGGUUUUCAUGUAGUGUGUUGCGGUCAACCUUCUUGCUUCUCCGUUUUCCUUUACGACCUAAAUUCAAAAAACACCUUACGUGCGUUUCAAGGCAACCUCUACCCCAUCCCGGUCUCUGUUUAUCUUUGUAUUUUUUUUUUGUAUAAAUAGAAUGUAGUUAAGAAGCAUUUUGGAACAUUUUUAUGUUAUGGGGCAUGAGAAUGAUAAUACUACCUCAAGUAUGGAUAAAGCGGGACAAAUGGGCUGAGAUGGAGUUACUGAAACUAUAAAUUUCCUCCCAUUUUGAUCAUUCAUCACUCCGUAGAAUCAAAAUGAACUAGCGAAUCCUUACAUUUGCUGUUAACGUUAGAUUAGUAUAGCAUUGUUGGUUCCUGUUUAGUUCCUGGUAAACGACAUACGAGUGAGAUAGUUUGGUCACCUCUGAUAGAUUGAGUUGUUAUGCUUGCAUUAGGCAAGCCGGUAGCCGGUGCGUUCCACGUCUAGGAGCAGGUCCCCUAAUGUAGCAUUUUCUUAAUAUGGUCAUGUGUUCUGAAUGUAAGAAACAAAAUAUGAAAGUAUGGAUCUCUCCUUUUUUUAUCCGGGGAUUCUGCCCUCUGGAUUUAGGGAUGUAGAUUUGAUAUACAGAUAUCGAAGAAGGCACUUAUUGUUUAUGUAGAUGAAUCAGUUUCCUUGAUUUCUCCUUUUGCCAUCUUGACUUUAGGUUCUUAUUGUUUAUGUAGAUGAAAAUUGUUGUGCAAUCUCAAGGUAACGAACGACUAACAAGACCAUGGUCUGCUGGUCAAAGAUUUAGACAUAGGACACACAAUAUAUCAUCUCUUAGGAUUCCGGUGAUCUCUAUCCAGGAUGCACUACACGUAUUUGAAAACUGAGAAUCAGAGACCUUGAUGAAAUUCAUCUCUGAAGUUUGCUUAAUUUGCUGAUGGUUCCAUGAACUUUCAAAGGACGGAGGUGCUCGGCUGGUUAUUUUUUGGUGAUGGUGGAGGUCCCUGAGUUGGUUAAUGUUGAUUUUGCUCAGGCACGAUCCAUCUUAGGGAUCAACGAGAGGUGGCUCAAGCGAUACGGGAUGGUGACGAGCAGCGGCGACCACAGCAGACAGUGCAGCAAACUGGACAUGCUUUAGAAAUGGUGGUCAAGACAACACGUC
Non-coding RNA from Lolium perenne, 1667 nucleotides. The record is from RefSeq and is a predicted model, not a curated record. Lineage: Eukaryota; Viridiplantae; Streptophyta; Magnoliopsida; Poales; Poaceae.